RNAcentral lists this transfer RNA (84 nucleotides) under Tilletia horrida. RNAcentral describes it as "tRNA-Glu". It matches the Rfam family "tRNA". Rfam says of the family: Transfer RNA (tRNA) molecules are approximately 80 nucleotides in length. Their secondary structure includes four short double-helical elements and three loops (D, anti-codon, and T loops). The record is from RNAcentral. Lineage: Eukaryota; Fungi; Basidiomycota; Exobasidiomycetes; Tilletiales; Tilletiaceae.
UCCUCGUUCGUCUAGUGGCUAAGAUAUAUCGCUCUCAUUGCGGAGCGAACCGAUAAGACCCGGGUUCGAUUCCCGGACGGGGAA